UCCGGUCCGUAGGGUGUAGGUGUGGU
RNAcentral lists this non-coding RNA (26 nucleotides) under Mus musculus (house mouse). Lineage: Eukaryota; Metazoa; Chordata; Mammalia; Rodentia; Muridae. The record is from RNAcentral.